Molecule: long non-coding RNA, 2467 nt
Organism: Acinonyx jubatus (cheetah)
Lineage: Eukaryota; Metazoa; Chordata; Mammalia; Carnivora; Felidae
Exons: 3
Source: RefSeq, a predicted model, not a curated record
GUCCUGGAUCCCUUCACUAACUGUAGUAUGAGUGAGGGAGUUUAUGACUUCCCAUCUGAUAGAUGGCGAUGUGUGAGUUCGCAUGAUCAGGGGUCUUUAGGAAAUAACUGAGUAAUUGAUAAAGUUCCUGUUCACAGUGUGUAAAAGCUUGGGAAAUUUUUCCUUAGCUAGACGUGUGUGGAAAAGAGGUUGUCUCCCCCAAAUCCUGACACACACUGUAGGCUAUCUCCUUCCCUCUCCCCUCAGAUACCUCCUUUUCCCGUCCCUGGGAACCAAGAAAAGAUAACCUAUUCCCAGAAGUUUGGAACAUGUAGAAGGGCCUCUGUAGGCACCAACAAAGCUCCAAGAGUUGGUGGCUGUACAGAUGAAGAAGAGACACAAAGAGAACCUCUAUAGACAUUUAACUUGAGCUUCUUGGGAUUUCUAUGCAUUCUCUGGAUGUUUCCCCAGACUGUGGCCAUCAAGAGUUGCAGAGUGGGGCCCAUCUUGCACAGGCUCAAUAUCAGAACUCAGUGAAUAUCAGUGCUGCUUGCCCAUCAAGGAAAAUCAGUAUGCCCUGAACCUGAGUCUCCACCUUCAAAGUCUAUUCUGGAAGAAACAGUUCUUGUGCCCACUUCAACACACAAGUCUAAUCUAAGCCUUUGUGGUAGUUAACCUUCAUCAGGACAUUCCUGCAGCGACCCUCAUGGCCAGGUUCUUCCUCAUCCCAUGCCAGAGGGGCACCUGCAGGCUCUAGCCUGCUGUUCUCUAUGGACAGAUGACCAUCUUGAGACUGGCUCCUGCUGGCUGAAGGCUCUGACAUUUACUCUGGCUAAGAGGUCUGGGCUACUAUGGAAAGUAACACAAAGUGUUCCAUGUUCUUAGUUCUCAUCUCAGCCCUAUCACAGGGCUUUCUAUUCUGGCAGCCCUGGUGAGCACCCACUUGGCUCACUUUUAGUCUGGGAGCAUAGAGAAUACGGAUCCGACAUGUCAUGUUUGGGGUGACAAUCUCCAUUCUUCCCGAUGCACUUUCAGAGAAAAUUUAAAUGGCCUUAACGUGGGUGUUCUCACUCUCCUGGGCUCCACAGGGCUUCGAUUUUGCCAUGAUUGUGAUUUCUAUGAUGGAUUCAAAUGCCGUGGUCCCAAGAAACGUUGCUGGAAGUUUAACUUAUCCCUCAAAUCCAAUAAGAGUUGCACCACAGAUCACUAUUACUACAAUGAUCCAAUUACAGGGAGAUAUCUGUACCGAUAUACAAAACUGUCUUGUAAUCCUUGUGAAGAGGGAAUGUUCCAAGUAUACCAUGACUUACUGAGAGAAACAUUUUGCUGCACUGAUAAACAUAUGUGUAAUACUGGACAUGAUAUUUUGGAAAAGUCAGAGCUUUUUGGAGAAGAUAAAGAACACACUAUCCAUGAUGAUGUCCUACCAUAACCUUAAACUAUCCUCCCAGUAAUUUUUGCCCUUCCCCUACACAAUGGCAACAUCAUCUCACAUUAUCUCAAACCCAGACCCUACUCUCUACUCUUUUCCAGCAGAUCUACCCAUGGAAGCUCUGUAUGUCCUGUGUCAGUGUUUCUCCAUUAAGAGGAAAAUAAGAACACCCAUGUCUGCCUUCUGGUUGGAUUCCUGUCUUUACCUCCUGAUGGCGUCUGGCAAUCUGUAACUAUCCUUAAGUUCUGAUGCUAAGCCUGGGGUCAAAUCUUUGGCAAAGGGAGCAAAGUAUUUUUCUGGUAGAGCUUCUGAGCAAAGAUCAAGAGAAAGCAGGCUGGAGAGAAAUAGGGACACGAAAUUGCAAGAGAUUUUAGGAGAAAUCUUUGGGUUUGUUGGAGGGCAGGAAAGGCUUGUGUUAAGUAGGGGCUUGAGAAAGUAAAUGUGAAGAUAGAAAACUCUGCCAUGAACUAGACAAACAGUCUUUGUGCCUCUGCCACCAUUUGGGGGAAACUGUACCAACCACGGCUCCUCCUGACCACACAGACCAAAGUUACCAUGUUUCUAAUGACCUUCUCUUGCUUUCAUGGCCAAAGCCAAGGACAUCAGGGUAAACACUUGGCCUGGUAUUGGCCAGCUACUCUGUUUCCUGGCAUGUGAGGAGUCCCUUCCCACCCAGUUCUGAAAAAUAUUUAAAUAUCUCCUUGCAUUCAAUGAAUUCAUUGGUAAAAAGCUGAGUGCUUUUCAUCUAUUGACACAUCCCUGCAACAAAUUAUGUCAAGGGAAGAUAAGAGUUUCAGACUUCACUGUGGUGUCCUAACAAAAAUAAUAAGCUGUGAAAUGACAAAAAUGACUCCCUAAAGUAUUAUUCACUCACUUUGGUUGAACUUUUCUUUUACUAUGCUUGCAUUCCUAUGUUGGAAUCUACAGACACUAUUACAUUUCAUAUUUGGCUGUACAGUUAUGUGUACAUAUAUAAUAUUAUCCCAGUUUUAGUAGUAUCCCUCCUGAUCCAGGCUUAUAAUUGCUUACUGCUUUCUACCACAUUGUAUUUGCAUA